Molecule: small nucleolar RNA, 93 nt
Organism: Telopea speciosissima
Lineage: Eukaryota; Viridiplantae; Streptophyta; Magnoliopsida; Proteales; Proteaceae
Product: small nucleolar RNA Z103
Exons: 1
Source: RefSeq, a predicted model, not a curated record
AUGGAAUGGAUGAUUCUUUCCCCAACUUCUAGACUCUGAUUAUAUUAAGCUAUUUUUUUCCUUAGGAGAAUCCAAGGCAAGAGUCUGAUCCAU